RNAcentral lists this ribosomal RNA (253 nucleotides) under uncultured bacterium. RNAcentral describes it as "partial 16S ribosomal RNA". It matches the Rfam family "Bacterial small subunit ribosomal RNA", at positions 524 to 776 of the family's 1533-position model. The record is from RNAcentral.
UACGAAGGGGGCUAGCGUUGUUCGGAAUUACUGGGCGUAAAGCGUAUGCAGGCGGACUUUUAAGUCGGGGGUGAAAUCCCGAGGCUCAACCUCGGAACUGCCUUCGAUACUGGAAGUCUUGAGUCCGGGAGAGGUGAGUGGAACUCCGAGUGUAGAGGUGAAAUUCGUAGAUAUUCGGAAGAACACCAGUGGCGAAGGCGGCUCACUGGCUCGGUACUGACGCUGAGAUACGAAAGCGUGGGGAGCAAACAGG